This 2385-nucleotide small RNA is filed under the name Histoplasma capsulatum. RNAcentral's name for it is "hypothetical RNA". RNAcentral also lists the same sequence under 1 other name. The record is from RNAcentral. Lineage: Eukaryota; Fungi; Ascomycota; Eurotiomycetes; Onygenales; Ajellomycetaceae.
ACCGUCUUCGUUUCUCCAAGCUUCUUGCAAAUCCCGUGGGAUCUCGUUUCUCUUCCCUACUACUUGGAAACAUGGCGUUCGCCUUUGGGCUUAGGAGCGUUGCUGGUGCACAAUUACGCUCACUUCAUCCCCGCCCUAGUAAGUUGUCCGUGACUGUUCUGUCGCGUCCAUUUAGUGGUGGUGGGAAAACAACACCCACAUCGCACCGAUCCGCGACGCCGCGAGCUCGAAUACGAACUGUCACCGAAGAAUCGGACCUAUCAGAGGAUCAACUCAAUGACUUGUUUGCUGGUCAAUUCCCUACUAACUGUGCCGAUGAAGUCAUCCAUCUGAGCAAUCUCUCUCAGCGUGACUUCCGCAGGAUAGUUGAUGCUUUUGAUACCUCAAGAUCAGAGUAAAUUGUUUCCUCUUUUCUUUUCUUUGUUCCAUGCCAUAUUGGGCUCCUCGGGUUUCUCACCUGGAGUAUGAUGAAUACCAGGGACGACCACCGGCCAUCGGGGCAUCUCUUCUUCGACAGAAAAUUGUCUAAAACGUCUGUCCACCUUGCGCCCUCAUCGCUUCAUGGAAGCGCCGUUCAUCAUAUUUUAGGCACCACUUGGGAUGUCAUUGAGUCCAAAGUGCCAAAAUAUUUCAGACGGUUUGAUAUUCAGACCAAUGAACGGGAGGGGCGCAGGGCAGAUUUUACAACAAAAGUACCUGACGUCAUGCUCUCAUAUGCUCCAGAUGCUGAAUCCAUCAAAAGCCCUUUCUUUUUAACCGAAGUAGGGUUUACAGAGAGCUACAAAGAUCUCGUGAAGACAAUGCAGUUCUGGCUUGACAACCAUGAAGAAAUUAACCUCGCCUUUCUCAUUAAAUUCCAAGAGUCCCCAGAGUACAGUGCGAAGAAGUGUUUUGCUGCUCUUCCAGAAGAGGUGGUAGCAGACUGGGAGCGAUAUGCAAAUGAUCGUGCUGGGUUUAAGGUUGAUGCCUCCGAGGGACUCCUGCGAGCGUACGGCGCCCCGCUUGUUGGAAGAACCACAGCAUUCCUAGAGAUUUGGGAGCGGAAGGGAAAAUCUGGCAGUGCUGGGCUUCGGGGAGAGCGCAUAGUAAGUGGAUGGAUACAGUUCUGGUGUCCUAACCCAACUCCGCGGAACCCGCAAAUCCCCCGCCGAGCCUCAUGCUUGGUUUCGACGAAUUCGGCUUACCAAUAGAAGAACUUCGAGGGCAAAAUAUCGAUAUGGCCUGGAGUGAAUGGGCUGAAAAGGUGUACAAUGCCAGGAAGAAGCUAGCAUGGAAUCGUUUUGGCACCAUUCUGUAUACCUACGCAACCACACCAAAGGACACGAAAACCUCGCGAGAAAAAUAAUUGUCAAAAACCUAAGGUGUGAUAAGAUAGCACUAUGAGCACUAGGUUAUCCAUAGCAAAAAGCCAACGUAACCAUUUGUUAAAUGGUUGCGCUAUAUAUAACCGUGGGUGUGGUGGUGUGGCCCGGCGCAUGCCCACCCAUCCCACCAUCUAUACACCGCAAGUGCCAGUCACAGCAUGGUGUGGGAACCACAAAGGGAUGAAAUCCUGUCCGUACCCUGCCAGGUGUCUGUAGAAGGGCUACACGGCCCACUUGGUCCACAGUUCCUUAAAUGAAGGCUGGAGAAAAUAGUAAUGGCAGAGAGAUAUUGGUGCAUUGGGAGAGUACAUGAGAUAAUCGGGAUGAGGGAUGAGGGCCAACUUCUCAGAGUCACUGCCUCAUACGCGGCAGAAAUUUAUACAGUGAACUUUGCCGACCCGCAAGUUAUUUGGGGGCUGGUGUCUAAAUCUUUGCAGGUCAAAUCAGACAGCCAGCUGUCCGGCCCAAACUCCCUCAAUUUCUAACGUAUGCAAUCAAAAACUAUGACAUGUACCGAGGGUCCCUCGGGUUUACCCUUGCAAACUCGGCGAGAAACAAGAUUUAAGCUCCACGCGACAUCAAGUGGCCAGGGUCACAGAGCAGCCGAAAAGAUCAACCAAGAUUUACAGAUUGUAUGUAUUCCUAGCCAACAUGGAGGAAUCCUGUGGUUAUUCUCAGAAAAUGGAAACAACUUGAACAACAAAACAAUUCGGAAGGAAUACAGAGGAGAAAAACGGUAUUUCAGAUUCUUUUUCCCAAAGAUAGCUUGUUCGGAAAAAUGGAGAUCGCAAUAAACUUUUAAUUGGCUGUCUUCGAACACUAAACCAGGCCCUAAUUUAUUACUCUUCUAUCCCGAAUCCCAUGUCGGCUUUGGAUCAAUAUUUAUAAUCGACCAUUUGUUAUACCGCAGAUCUGCGGCGGAACUGAUUUCUUGCGCCCUUUGGCAUUUGGGACUGUUGUACUUAAAAUCCAAAGGCUGCUCCAAUUUAAACCUAACUUAAAACUGAUCUGUGUUUCAUCC